RNAcentral lists this ribosomal RNA (450 nucleotides) under uncultured bacterium. RNAcentral describes it as "bacterial SSU rRNA". It matches the Rfam family "Bacterial small subunit ribosomal RNA", at positions 45 to 539 of the family's 1533-position model. The record is from RNAcentral.
GGCCUAACACAUGCAAGUCGAACGGUUGUAGCAAUACAGCAGUGGCAGACGGGUGAGUAACACGUGGGAACCUUCCUAGGGGUACGGAACAACUCAGGGAAACUUGAGCUAAUACCGUAUACGUCCGUAAGGAGAAAGAUUCAUCGCCCCUAGACGGGCCCGCGUAGGAUUAGGUAGUUGGUGAGGUAACGGCUCACCAAGCCUACGAUCCUUAGCUGAUCUGAGAGGAUGAUCAGCCACACUGGGACUGAGACACGGCCCAGACUCCUACGGGAGGCAGCAGUGGGGAAUUUUGGACAAUGGGCGCAAGCCUGAUCCAGCCAUGCCGCGUGAGUGAAGAAGGCCUUCGGGUUGUAAAGCUCUUUUACCAGGGACGAUAAUGACGGUACCUGGAGAAUAAGCCCCGGCAAACUUCGUGCCAGCAGCCGCGGUAAUACGAAGGGGGCUAGC